UUAGCUGCUAUUGAAGCUCCAUCUACAAAUGGAUAAGAUUUCGAUCUUUGUGUAUACGAGUUUUUGAAAAUAACGGAACAAUGCCGAUUCUCUUCCAAGAAGUUGGUAUUGCUCCGUUAUUUAUUAGGUUUUUUUCAAUUUUUUGAUUUUUUAUUUAGGCUUCAACAAAACAAAAAGUAUUUUUGUGGUUUUUGAUUUAGUAUCCUAUUAUCAUGUGCUAAUAAUUUAAUUUCCCUUUACUUAUUUUGGCUUUACAGUCAUAUUAUUGGUUUAGAGUCAAUUUAAUAUAAAAAAGUAUGGAAUU
RNAcentral lists this unclassified non-coding RNA (304 nucleotides) under Alectryon semicinereus. RNAcentral's name for it is "partial miscellaneous RNA". Lineage: Eukaryota; Viridiplantae; Streptophyta; Magnoliopsida; Sapindales; Sapindaceae. The record is from RNAcentral.